Cercocebus atys (sooty mangabey) is the source of this 2321-nucleotide long non-coding RNA. The record is from Ensembl. NCBI's taxonomy places the organism in Eukaryota, Metazoa, Chordata, Mammalia, Primates, Cercopithecidae.
ACCGAGCAACUGGCCAAGAUGAAAGAUUUCCCAUCUGACUUUCCCAAGCCCACCUCUCCCGACCCAUCAAGUACCUGGUACUGGCGUAAGACGUCCCACUCCUCCCCUGGGCGGAGCCGACACCACAGAACCCGGAUUCCCAACACCUCCUCUUCCUCUGACCUUCAGCUCCCACCCGCUCCGAGGAAGAGGAGACACACAAGAUGGAGGGAGGAAUGGCAUCCUACCCUGUUGCAACGCCGAAGUCGCGCUGCCGCAGGGGGCGCAUUGGGGUCCAGCCGUCCCCACAGCGCAGAUCACAGGUAGUCGGAUCUUUCCCGCUGGCGCGCGGCCUCAGCCAGCUCUCACUCUAUAUCACUCUCCCUGGCGCCAGGACCAGACUCCAACACGCUUAGGAAGACAGCGGUCCCCCUUGGCUAAUGCCGAGAGAGUCUCCAUUACGCAAGCUUUCCCACCAAACCCAUCGGUCGGUGCGCCUCUGAUCACAGGCCAAGGGCCUGCGCACCCCCAAAGACAACCGGGUUCCCCGGAAGGCCCCCAGGCUGAAAUGAGCACCACCGGGAAUGGCCAGCCUCGAAAACAACUUGGGGGCAUGGACACCACAAGACAGGGUCGCAGGUCUCAACGAGGCGGAUGCCUGGUGUCUGAGGGGGGACAGGCCGGGCCUGCCCUCACCUUGGCAUCCACCUCAUCAGGAAGCGUCUGGGUACGGGCCCCGAAGGAUGCUCCGCGGCCCACCUUCCUCCCUAGGCCGCAAGGAGCAACACCCCGGCGCCGGCCAGCCCCGGCGGGCACCGGCGCCACUGGCCACGGAACUCAGCUCUGGCAGUGGACCCUCCUCACUGGCGUGCAGUGUGGCCGAGGGAGCCUCCCGGGGCCGAGGACCCAACUAGGCCGUCCCCUGGGGGAGCAGGCAGGACUAGGACCGGUGCCGGACGGAUCCGAGGUCUCUGGAGGCCGAGGAAGCAGGGUCCGCCGCCAGUUCGAGCCCUGGAAGCCCCAGAGACAGGCGCCAGGUCUAGCUGGACAGCCAGGACGCCUGGCGGUUGCCGAACAGGAAGCCAUGGCCCGGGAGCCUCGGUGGGCGGCCAUGAUCUGGGCGGGACUAGCGGAGGGCCUCCGCCAAGGAGCCUGGGCUGUCGGGGCCGUGGGCAGUUUGCCUGGCUCGUGGACCGGUUUCCGUGGGAGCCACUCGGUGAGUCAGUCCCAAGCCACUCCUCCCCAGGCGAGCACAGGGACCGGUGCUCGAUUGCCAAGCGGGUUCCUCUUGAUGGCAGUAUUGCUCCAGAAAUGCCCACCUGCCCUUCCCCCAUGUCCACUCCCUCCGCCCUCUGCGGAGGAAAAAACGCCAAGAGCGCUCUGCACAUGGCCCUUCAGCAUCUCGGCUGCUUUGGGCCAGCUCUGGCCCACCUGCCGGACCCUGUCCUUGGCAGACGGGACUCGGCAGGGUCCUUCUACUAGCCUGCCUUCCUGACAAACCAGAAAGCGGUCCCCUUGGGCCGCCCUGGGGAUGCAGCCGAACUAACCGCAUCCCUAACCAUGCCUUUGGCGUGGGGAGGAUGGUGGAACCCACAGGGAAGAGAAGGAGAUUGGGCACAGAGUAGGAUGCCAGCCCUAGCUCUGCCCUCCGGGACACAUUCGCACUUGGGCGUACUCACGGGUCACUGCAAGGCCAGCUUGACCAGGGGUCAAAGGCGACCGGCGUCCCACUGACCCCUGGGGUUUUGUCCUCAGAUUUGAGGUGAACCUGGAAUUCCGUUAUAGCCGGACAUGUCCCAGGCCCUUCUGCCAUGGAGGUAGCUGCCAUGGACUGUGUAAAGAUCCCACACCACCUUUGGUCACACACGAGGGGAGCUUACCACCCCGAACCCACCUGUCAUCCUCACAUCUGGGCUGUUUCCUACUAUCCUCAGCUCUUCCUAGAAGACUUGUCCUAGAUAACCUAGAGAAUCAUCCAUGUCCUUGAGGAGUUGUGUGGGCGAUGGGGAAGCGGGUAGAUUGUCCCAGCCCCAAGUGUACGGAUCUUCCUCCCCAAACAUAUUCUGUGAGAGAAACCCUUUGUUGACCUUUUCGGGCAAUGAAUUUGUGGCCGGAAGCCUGCUGUCUGCUUCAGGAACACAGUGACAUUGAAUGCUCUUCUGAAGACAGAUUUAACAGUAGCAACACACUAAGCACGCUGCUAGCUUCCUGGCCCUUUCCAGUAUUCUUGUUCCCCAUGGACCUUCCUUUGGAUUUUUCUACAACAUUGUUGUCUCUCUCUGUCUGUCUCUGUCUAUCUCUCUGUCUCUCUUCUGCCACAUUCCGGCCCAACGGCCUCUCAC